CCUACGGGGAGCAGCAGUGGGGAAUAUUGGACAAUGGGCGAAAGCCUGAUCCAGCCAUGCCGCGUGUGUGAAGAAGGCCUUCGGGUUGUAAAGCACUUUCAGUGGGGAAGAAAGCCUUGGGGCUAAUACCCUCGAGGAAGGACAUCACCCACAGAAGAAGCACCGGCUAACUCCGUGCCAGCAGCCGCGGUAAUACGGAGGGUGCGAGCGUUAAUCGGAAUUACUGGGCGUAAAGCGCGCGUAGGCGGUGUGAUAAGCCGGUUGUGAAAGCCCCGGGCUCAACCUGGGAACGGCAUCCGGAACUGUCAGGCUAGAGUGCAGGAGAGGAAGGUAGAAUUCCCGGUGUAGCGGUGAAAUGCGUAGAGAUCGGGAGGAAUACCAGUGGCGAAGGCGGCCUUCUGGACUGACACUGACGCUGAGGUGCGAAAGCGUGGGUAGCAAACAGGAUUAGAUACCCGGGUAGUC
This 465-nucleotide ribosomal RNA is filed under the name Vreelandella stevensii. Its description in RNAcentral is "partial 16S ribosomal RNA". It matches the Rfam family "Bacterial small subunit ribosomal RNA", at positions 338 to 795 of the family's 1533-position model. Lineage: Bacteria; Pseudomonadati; Pseudomonadota; Gammaproteobacteria; Oceanospirillales; Halomonadaceae. The record is from RNAcentral.